This 497-nucleotide ribosomal RNA is filed under the name uncultured bacterium. RNAcentral describes it as "partial 16S ribosomal RNA". It matches the Rfam family "Bacterial small subunit ribosomal RNA", at positions 28 to 507 of the family's 1533-position model. The record is from RNAcentral.
GAUGAACGCUGGCGGCGUGCCUAAUACAUGCAAGUCGAGCGAACAGACGAGGAGCUUGCUCCUCUGACGUUAGCGGCGGACGGGUGAGUAACACGUGGAUAACCUACCUAUAAGACUGGGAUAACUUCGGGAAACCGGAGCUAAUACCGGAUAAUAUAUUGAACCGCAUGGUUCAAUAGUGAAAGACGGUUUUGCUGUCACUUAUAGAUGGAUCCGCGCCGCAUUAGCUAGUUGGUAAGGUAACGGCUUACCAAGGCAACGAUGCGUAGCCGACCUGAGAGGGUGAUCGGCCACACUGGAACUGGAACACGGUCCAGACUCCUACGGGAGGCAGCAGUAGGGAAUCUUCCGCAAUAGGCGAAAGCCUGACGGAGCAACGCCGCGUGAGUGAUGAAGGUCUUCGGAUCGUAAAACUCUGUUAUUAGGGAAGAACAAAUGUGUAAGUAACUAUGCACGUCUUGACGGUACCUAAUCAGAAAGCCACGGCUAACUACGUG